UUCGUAGGUGGUGCGGCAAGUUGGAAGUGAAAUCUCUGGGCUUAACCCAGAGGCUGCUUUCAAAACUGCCGCGCUCGAGUGCGAGAGAGGUCAGUGGAAUUGCAGGUGUAGCGGUGAAAUGCGUAGAUAUCUGCAGGAACACCCGUGGCGAAGGCGGCUGACUGGAUCGCAACUGACACUGAGGAACGAAAGCUAGGGGAGCAAACAGGAUUAGAUACCCUGGUAGUCCUAGCCCUAAACCAUCAGAACUUGGGGUGGCCCGCGUAGGCGGGUCGUCCCGUAGCUAACGCGUUAAGUUCUGCGCCUGGGGAUACGGUCGCAAGACUGAA
Molecule: ribosomal RNA, 329 nt
Filed under: uncultured bacterium
Lineage: Bacteria
Description: bacterial SSU rRNA
Rfam family: Bacterial small subunit ribosomal RNA
Source: RNAcentral